RNAcentral lists this ribosomal RNA (255 nucleotides) under uncultured bacterium. Its description in RNAcentral is "partial 16S ribosomal RNA". It matches the Rfam family "Bacterial small subunit ribosomal RNA", at positions 524 to 776 of the family's 1533-position model. The record is from RNAcentral.
GACGAAGGGGGCAAGCGUUGUUCGGAAUUACUGGGCGUAAAGGGCGCGUAGGCGGUCGUGACAAGUCACUUGUGAAAUCUCCGGGCUUAACUCGGGAACGGUCAAGUGAUACUGUCGGACUAGAGUACAGAAGGGGCAACUGGAAUUCUCGGUGUAGCGGUGAAAUGUGUAGAUAUCGAAAGGAACAUCAGUGGCGAAGGCGGCAGUCUGGCUCUAUACUGACACUGAGGCGCGAAGGCGUGGGGAGCAAACAGG